RNAcentral lists this ribosomal RNA (245 nucleotides) under uncultured Spirochaeta sp. RNAcentral's name for it is "partial 16S ribosomal RNA". It matches the Rfam family "Bacterial small subunit ribosomal RNA", at positions 1139 to 1382 of the family's 1533-position model. The record is from RNAcentral. Lineage: Bacteria; Pseudomonadati; Spirochaetota; Spirochaetia; Spirochaetales; Spirochaetaceae.
UCAGAUGAGACUGCCGGUGACAAACCGGAGGAAGGUGGGGACGACGUCAAGUCAUCAUGGCCCUUAUGUCCUGGGCUACACACGUGCUACAAUGGCCGGUACAGAGUGAAGCGAAACCGCGAGGUGAAGCAAAACGCAGAAAGACCGGUCUCAGUACGGAUUGGAGUCUGAAACUCGACUUCAUGAAGUUGGAAUCGCUAGUAAUCGCGCAUCAGCAUGGCGCGGUGAAUACGUUCCCGGGCCUU